Non-coding RNA from Schizosaccharomyces pombe (fission yeast), 239 nucleotides. The record is from the annotation of a GenBank genome assembly. Lineage: Eukaryota; Fungi; Ascomycota; Schizosaccharomycetes; Schizosaccharomycetales; Schizosaccharomycetaceae.
GCUAAAUGUACUUCGAAAGCUUUCGUACUCUAAAAAUAGAAUGGCCCAAUAACAUUGAUAUAAAGUGCUAGUCAAAAAGAAAACAACACUAGCGUAUGGCUCCAUUGUUUAAAUUCUAUGAUGAAAAGUAGAAAGAUUGCUUUCUUAAAAAACGCCAACGUAGAACCCAAUAUGGCAUGGAUACUUUCAGAAAAUUACUGGAUUGAGUUUAAGCAAGAGAGUCAGUCGGCAGCCGACUG